This 429-nucleotide ribosomal RNA is filed under the name uncultured bacterium. RNAcentral describes it as "bacterial SSU rRNA". It matches the Rfam family "Bacterial small subunit ribosomal RNA", at positions 355 to 775 of the family's 1533-position model. The record is from RNAcentral.
UCGAGAGGCUUUGGCAAUGGGGGAAACCCUGACCAAGCGACGCCGCGUGGAGGAUGAAGGCCUUUGGGUUGUAAACUCCUUUUGUCGGGGAAGAAAUGCGAUCAGGUGAAUAAUCUGGUCGUUUGACGGUACCCGGCGAAUAAGCUCCGGCUAACUCCGUGCCAGCAGCCGCGGUAACACGGGGGGAGCAAGCGUUGUUCGGAAUCACUGGGCGUAAAGGGCGUGUAGGCGGUCAUGUAAGUGGAAUGUGAAAUCCCUAGGCUUACCCUAGGACCUGCAUCCCAAACUGCAUGACUUGAGUACGGGAGAGGAUGAGGGAAUUCCUGGUGUAGCGGUGAAAUGCGUAGAUAUCAGGAGGAACACCGGUGGCGAAGGCGCUCAUCUGGCCCGUUUCUGACGCUGAGGCGCGAAAGCUAGGGUAGCGAACGG